GCCAAUCUAUAUUACACCUUUUAUUAAAGUCUAUGUGUUUAAAUUCGUCAUCAAGGUUUACCCUGAUAAUUGUUCAAUCACAAUAAAUUCGUCUAUGGGAAAUGUCGGUUGUAUUCAUUGUGUUUGGACACUAAUUAUCACGGGCAAAGAUUUGGUAUGAAAACGGGCUAUUAUCCAUAUAAACACCUUGUUCACAUUAACGAUCUUCAGAAACCUUAAAUCACGUUUACAUAAAAAAUCUCUACCCUUGUAAACCCUAAUUAUUGACCAAUAAAUUUACAGCCAGUUCCACGAUAUCGAAAGAACACGUUCGCACAACUUUUACACGACAAACAGCUGAUUUCCGUUCCACUAAAAUCUAUCAGAACGAAAAUUUGCACGAAAAUCAAAGCGAACGAAAACGUAAGCAUUUCAGUGUAAUUUUGCGUUCCACUAUCUUUUUUCUUUCGUACGCAUGCGAACACAAAUGUCAAAAUCAGUCACUUGUGUGUUUGCUAUCGUAUAAUAACAAUUAAGGAAAAUUGUUUUAACAUAAACAUUGCUUGAUUGAAAAUGGAAACAGAAAUCACGAAAAAAUCAUCAACUACACAGCUGCGGGCACUAGUUGAGUAAAUGGAGGAGAAUCCUGUGUUCGCCAGAGGAAUGCCAAUUUUUGGAAGCAGCAGAAGAAGUUUUAAAUCGGGGCGGACUUGGGUAGUUCUGCAACCGGGCACCCACUUCUCUUCCAUCAUAUCCAAAAGAGCCCGAAAACUUCCUUCGACACACGAAAGUUGGCCACAAACCUAGAAAAAAUCAUUUUUUAUUAUUUCAAAAAUGUAAAAAUACAAUCAUACUUACUGGUUGUUAGGUACUUCAAAUAAAUUCGAAGCAUCUCUUAAA
This is a long non-coding RNA of Musca domestica (house fly), 879 nucleotides long. RefSeq lists it as uncharacterized. The transcript has 2 exons. NCBI's taxonomy places the organism in Eukaryota, Metazoa, Arthropoda, Insecta, Diptera, Muscidae. The record is from RefSeq and is a predicted model, not a curated record.